Fukomys damarensis (Damara mole-rat) is the source of this 130-nucleotide small nucleolar RNA. The record is from Ensembl. Lineage: Eukaryota; Metazoa; Chordata; Mammalia; Rodentia; Bathyergidae.
CUUGAGGUCUAUCCCUAUGGGGCCUUUCUUGUGGCCACACAUUGUUGGAAACGCCUCAUAGCGUAACAUUGGUUUUGCUUUGGUCAUGGGUCUAUUUAAUAGGCCUGUGAUAAGGCACUACAAGACAGCA